Ictalurus punctatus (channel catfish) is the source of this 3388-nucleotide long non-coding RNA. NCBI's taxonomy places the organism in Eukaryota, Metazoa, Chordata, Actinopteri, Siluriformes, Ictaluridae. The record is from Ensembl.
GUUCCUAGCGGAGCUUCUGAAAUGGAAAAUCAACUAAAAGACCUGAAGCACAACCUCAGGCACAAGAUGGAUACUUACAAGGGAAGGUCUCGAGCACAGUUAGAGCACCUUCUCUGCUGUUUCAGAGGACUAGGACGGAAAAUAAUCGGGAAAAGUCGAACUCUAGCUGUAUGGCUUUAAUGCGAGAAAGCUAUGAGCUCAUCAAAACGAUGCAAUCCUUACAGCAGAGGACGCUGUUGCUGUUCCCCUGCUGUAUCCUGUACAAUUUUAUAUCGAUUCAAGGAUAAUUAAGCAUACUUGUGUAAGGAUCACUAUCCGAAGCAUCUCAUUUACUUGGAAAUCAACGCAUUCUGCUGGGGAAAAAAAAAAAGAAAAGUUUCGACGUCGAUUUGUUCGAAUACCGAAAUAUCGUGCUACACGUCGCGUAUCGUAGUCCGUAAGAAUCGCGAUGUGAACUUUUUAUCAUUUCAGAAGACUUCUAACUGCAGGGUUAUCAGAAAUUGUUGAAUUUUAUGUUAGGAAUAAUGACGUGACCAAUCAUAUAUUAAGGAGCCCGGUUCAUUUAAAAACAAACCUUGCUAAUAUUUUGUCCGGAGUGACCGACGGAAAAGGUGACAUACUUUUAAUUCAACAGUACAUCAUGAUCAGAAUCAGCUAAAACACCCUGUCGCAAUUCUUUUCUCUCUCAGAGAAUGAAAAAGUGCCUAUGCUGAUGAAUAAUUUCAUUACAGUGCUAAAGAGGACACGCACUGCAGUUACAGCUUUCCGUCACUAGAGGGAGACACAUGACUGAUUUAUAAACUACACAACUUCGUCUUUUUUUUUUUUUUUUUUAAAUCCUUAAAUUGGAUGUUGCUCAGUUAUUCAAGUUCAUUUCCACACCCCACAGACAUAUUAACAGGCAUGUUACAAAAGCACUGCUUAUUGCACAUUUUAAUAUAAAACAGUAUUUUAAAAAUCAUAUAUAUGAAUAUACAGAAAGAAAAACAACACACAAAAGAUAUAGUACACUUUCCAUACAGUGUGUUGAAUUCAAAAUAAUAACAAACAAACAAACAAAAAAUGAACCCACUGUUGGUCAAUACAUUUUACUGUACAAAAUCUCUCAUUAGGCAUGUCCUAAUAAUCAGUUAUACAAUACACUGCAACGUCCAAUACAUAUUAUUAUUAUUAUUAUUAUUCGCGAAGGCAGUUUAGGUAGGCGACAGCUUUUAUGCUCCUAAAAAUAACAUAUUUCCUAUGUAAAAGACUAUGUAAAAGAUGGUUGUUUUAUUGUUGGACAAAUUUACAAAAACGUGGAAUUGUAUACUUUCCUUAAUGACACAAAAACAAACCAAAAAAAAAAAACAACGCACAAACAUUAUGCGUAAUCUGGAGAACAAAAUGGUGGAUAGAACACACUGAUGUUUUGAUGGACUGAGGAUCAUGCUAGAAAAGUUUGAGGUAAUGUUUAAAUCGUGUUUGUCUUUUUCUUUUAAAGUCUUCUUUGUGAUGCAACAUGGAAUUUCAGUUAGCGGUUGAUGCUACGUGUAAGUACGGUGUACUUGUAACUGAACGGAGAUUUUUCUUGAUAAUUUAUCGACAUAUCUGAGGUAAAUGUUGACGUUCCCGUCAGGACCAUCUAAUUUUCGCCGACACUGUACCUUUACGUUGUCCGUAUAAACAACUUCAAGGCUUUACGCUAGCUAAACCUGUAUUUAGCAUGUUUCCUAGACGCCCAGCAACAAGAUCUGUUGUUCUCACGACUUUAACCACCGGUGCGUUUGUCUUCCUGCUUUGCGUUUGAAUGUAACAUGUCCCCAACAAAAGCUUAAACCAUAAUUGAAUGUUGGCACACGAGCUAACGGAGAUGAAAUGUAAAACGGCUAGCGGAGCUCACGGCCUCGGUUCAAUCACUUUUAGAUCUGAAUUAAACGUUAACGGUAUCCGUGGCUCUGUUCAUUCAAUUUACAUCGAUAAAGCUGCUCCCGGUUUUCGCUGAGGGGAAAUGAACUUGAUAUUACGUUUUAAUAUUCCUAAAUUAACAGCAUCAACUGUUAACACUCCGGUCAUCGUGAACGUGGGACGGAGCAGCGUGUUUAGCAUGUGCGUGUUUAGGAUGAAAUGAGAAUUUGAAUUGAACCCAGUGGAAACCCAUUGGACUGCUUCAAGAGGAUCAUGUACAGGGAUGGGGACAGGGGCAGGAAGCAGAGCUUGAAGACAUGAUGCCGCCAUGAUGUUACAGUCCUAAUGUGUGUUUCAUCUCUGGAUAUAUUCAAGUACAACGAGCAACACUGCUCGAUAAGAAGUGUACAUUUAUUAUACAAUACUGUACAGCUACAUAUAUACACGUACUUCUUCUGUAUGGUAGACUAUAUAACCCAUGUACGCCGACCUAUAUAGGUCCUAAUUAUUAACACCACUGUGUUGUGUUUACAUUCAUACCACAAACAUGGAAAAUACUUGUUUCUGAUUGGCUGGCAGGUGUUUGUUAUGUAGGACAGGGAGUAUAGUAUAUAACGGUGUUCCCAGGAUAGAGAAAAUAGUAUAUCCCAGUAUUCCCAGGAUAAGGAAUAUAGUAUAUCCCGGAUAAAUACACAUAAAACCCAAAUGAAUCAGAAAAUAGCAAACACCUGCCUCAAACACACACACACACACACACACACACACACUCCUUGAAAGAAUGAAAUGCAUCCUGGGAUAUCAAUCAAGCCACUUAAUCUGCUCCCUGCAUCACUUCCACCUCAACAUGUGACACAAUAAAAAACACACAACAGAACGAGCACACACACACACACACACACACACACACACACACACACACAUUAUGCUCUCUCACAUGCACAGUAAUUUGUCUGUGUGCAGACUCGCACAGCUCCAGACUGUAAAUGUGGGAAACACAAACAGAACCACAGAAGAGCAGAAAAUUACAUUUUGGUGAUUUAUCACACUGCGUGUAAACAUAAUAACACCGUAAACGUGUACAAAUAACGCCUGCGCUCCAUCAUUUAAAUUCAUCACGGAGAGCCACAGCCUCGGGCGAACGGAUCGCGCCUCUCUCGCAUCGGGCGUCUAGAUUCGAUCUUCUCUUCACGUGAAAUAAUUGUUCGGCUUAAAGGAGAAAAUAAAACCGCAGAAUUACCCACAGGACGUGACAAAAUCCAUGAUUUCUUUCUUCUCGUGCUCCCAAACCCGCGCGUCAGGUCUGGAUUUGCACUUUUCUAGUUAGCGUCACACGUGAGAGCAGACUGUGAGAAAGCGGUUCAGCUCUGCUCCAUAACUCUGUUAUGAAGCCUAGUGUGUGCCAAGUCCCUGAAUAAGGACGUUUACAGGCUUUUAAUCUCAACACCUAGUUCAUCUAUUUAAAAAAAAAAAAAAAAAAAAAAAAUUUAAUUCAGUUUAAAAAAAG